GGCCCCGUCCGGAGUUUGCCGAGAUUCUUGACUAACACUUUUUGUAUGGGAAUUCAUCUUUGGGCAUCUAGUGCAGGCCGCCCACGCAGGCGGAGCGCGAAGUGCCCAAGCGAACAACCACCGCAGUGCCUAAGAGUUCAAGAAAUCGGCUCCGGGCGGGGCUU
Molecule: non-coding RNA, 164 nt
Filed under: Chitinispirillales bacterium
Lineage: Bacteria; Pseudomonadati; Fibrobacterota; Chitinispirillia; Chitinispirillales
Description: 6S RNA
Rfam family: 6S / SsrS RNA
About the family: E. coli 6S RNA was the first non coding RNA to be sequenced, but its function was unknown until recently. It consists of 184 nucleotides that fold into an extended hairpin structure with a large single-stranded internal bulge. The 6S RNA specifically associates with RNA polymerase holoenzyme containing the sigma70 specificity factor.
Source: RNAcentral